GAUGAACGCUAGCUACAGGCUUAACACAUGCAAGUCGAGGGGAAACGGCAUUAAGUGCUUGCACUUUUUGGACGUCGACCGGCGCACGGGUGAGUAACGCGUAUCCAACAUUACCAUGACUAAGGGAUAACCUGCCGAAACGCAGACUAAUACAUUAUGGUCUUCACUGACGGCAUCAGAUGAGAAGUACAGAUUUAUCGGUUAUGGAUGGGGAUGCGUCUGAUUAGCUUGUUGGCGGGGUAACGGCCCACCAAGGCAACGAUCAGUAGGGGUGCUGAGAGGAAGCUACCCCGCAUUUGAACUGAGACACGGUCCAAACUCCUACGGGAAGGAGCAGUGAGGAAUAUUAGUCAAUGGGCGAGAGCCUGAACCAGCCAAGUAGCGGGCAGGAGGACGGCCCUAUUGGUUGUAAACUGCUUUUGUAUGGGGAUAAAGUCAAUCACGUGUGAUUGUUUGCAGGUACCAUACGAAUAAGGACCGGCUAAUUCCGUG
This 492-nucleotide ribosomal RNA is filed under the name uncultured bacterium. RNAcentral's name for it is "partial 16S ribosomal RNA". It matches the Rfam family "Bacterial small subunit ribosomal RNA", at positions 28 to 507 of the family's 1533-position model. The record is from RNAcentral.